AAUGCAUGCACCGCUCGUUUGGUGGACUUCAGACGCACUGUUCCUUGUGUUCUCUGAUAAAAAAGGAUGAAGAAGAAAUUACAUCGUAUGCUCCCUACUGUACCACUGCAGCACCUCCCUUCGUCGUAUGCUUCCUACUGUACCAUACUGCACUACUUUUUUUCCCUCUUCUUCCAAAUAAAUAAAUAAACAUGAUUACACACUCUCACCGCUUUCGGUUUAACAGAAUCUCCCAGGUCUCAAACCCACCAUUACAUAAUACUAACAAUCACAACCAACGCAGCAUAUAUGUAUCCAGUGUUGACUGAUUUCCUAGUCUGCGGAAUGCUGCUCAUCUUUUUUCUUGAUUGAUUAGCCACCUAAUUAUUAAGACAAACAACGCAUGAGUGCUGCUCACUCAGCCAGCAUAUACAAUGAAGCCGGGUAGGGUCAGCCAUAGCUAAUAAUUUGAGGACAAAAGAAGCGCCAACUUGAGCCGACAACAACAUCUAGGGGGCUUGAACGCCACCCCAAGUGCCACACUGCCCCUACACCAUUAUUCAAACACCCCAUAUGCUCUUGCUCUUGCUCUUUGAUGCAUGAUGCAGCUUUCAGUAGUCCUGCCUGUCAUGCCAAGAUACAUAAACAUGGGGCCUAUCAUUGCGUCCAUGCAUACUUACCAGUUCCCUCCAUCUGCACUGCACAAUCGAAACAAAGGGCCAAAAGGUUAAUGACGAAGCAAACCAUGUACUUGCAUGGGAACCAGAAUUAAAUUCAGCUAAGCUUUCAUUGUAAGUAUUUGUGACUGCAACCUUUACAAAAUCGUGGAAACUACUCCUUUUUAGGUGCGAAUAAAAGACGCAGUUCAUUAUUAAAUUCUCUAAUCCUUAUUCUUAUACAUACACCAAUCUGCUUAACCAUGUGUUCUCAUGGUCAUCAGCUUACCUUGUGUACCCCCCCACACAAAAAAACAUGUUAAUUUGUGUCUCGAAAACAUUUUUCGUUGUUGUCGUGAAAAAAAAGAAAGAUCCGUCGUUGUUCACCCUGAGAUUAAAACAGUCACCCGAUGCCCUGUCAGAUGCCACCAGUUUUAUCCACAUUUUUCUCUCCAAGCAUAGCAUGUAUCCCAAAACUUUAUCAACAUAAUACUAGUGGUGAAGAAAAUGUCAUGUGUUGAUAAGAAAGGCACAAUUUAUAAUGAUAGAACGCACAAAGCAAACUCAAC
This 1204-nucleotide long non-coding RNA is filed under the name Hordeum vulgare. Its description in RNAcentral is "long non-coding RNA (HVUL_LNC017571)". The record is from RNAcentral. Lineage: Eukaryota; Viridiplantae; Streptophyta; Magnoliopsida; Poales; Poaceae.